RNAcentral lists this ribosomal RNA (433 nucleotides) under uncultured bacterium. RNAcentral's name for it is "partial 16S ribosomal RNA". It matches the Rfam family "Bacterial small subunit ribosomal RNA", at positions 29 to 507 of the family's 1533-position model. The record is from RNAcentral.
AACGAACGCUGGCGGCAUGCCUAACACAUGCAAGUCGAGCGAGACCUUCGGGUCUAGUGGCGCACGGGUGCGUAACGCGUGGGAACCUGCCCCUAGGUUCGGAAUAACUCCCCGAAAGGGGUGCUAAUACCGGAUAAUGUCUUCGGACCAAAGAUUUAUCGCCUUUGGAUGGGCCCGCGUUGGAUUAGCUAGUUGGUAGGGUAAAAGCCUACCAAGGCGACGAUCCAUAGCUGGUCUGAGAGGAUGAUCAGCCACACUGGGACUGAGACACGGCCCAGACUCCUACGGGAGGCAGCAGUGGGGAAUAUUGGACAAUGGGCGAAAGCCUGAUCCAGCAAUGCCGCGUGAGUGAUGAAGGCCUUAGGGUUGUAAAGCUCUUUUACCCGGGAUGAUAAUGACAGUACCGGGAGAAUAAGCUCCGGCUAACUCCGUG